This 85-nucleotide transfer RNA is filed under the name Neurospora sp. IMI 360204. RNAcentral's name for it is "tRNA-Gln". It matches the Rfam family "tRNA". From Rfam's summary of the family: Transfer RNA (tRNA) molecules are approximately 80 nucleotides in length. Lineage: Eukaryota; Fungi; Ascomycota; Sordariomycetes; Sordariales; Sordariaceae. The record is from RNAcentral.
GGUUGUAUAGUGUAGCGGUUAUCACUCCGGAUUCUGAUGUCCUCAGAACAUUCCGGCAACCCCGGUUCGAUUCCGGGUACGACCU